RNAcentral lists this ribosomal RNA (446 nucleotides) under uncultured bacterium. RNAcentral describes it as "bacterial SSU rRNA". It matches the Rfam family "Bacterial small subunit ribosomal RNA", at positions 355 to 825 of the family's 1533-position model. The record is from RNAcentral.
UGGGGAAUCUUGGACAAUGGGCGCAAGCCUGAUCCAGCCAUGCCGCGUGGAUGAUGAAGGCCUUAGGGUUGUAAAAUCCUUUCGUUGGGACGAUAAUGACGGUACCCAAAGAAGAAGCUCCGGCUAACUUCGUGCCAGCAGCCGCGGUAAUACGAAGGGGGCUAGCGUUGUUCGGAUUUACUGGGCGUAAAGCGCGUGUAGGCGGAUUUGUAAGUUGGGGGUGAAAUCCCGAGGCUCAACCUCGGAACUGCCUCCAAAACUACAAGUCUGGACCUAAGUAGAGGCAAGUGGAAUUGCGAGUGUAGAGGUGAAAUUCGUAGAUAUUCGCAGGAACACCAGUGGCGAAGGCGACUUGCUGGACUUAUGGUGACGCUGAGACGCGAAAGCGUGGGGAGCAAACAGGAUUAGAUACCCCCGUAGUCCCUGAGCGGGCUGGCAAGGCGCAU